AGUCUAAGGGACACUAAACCCGGAGGCGAAGUGAAAACGAGCCAUCACUGGCACGAGGGAAGAUGGUCGGGCGGUCUCCGUCCGGCCCGCACUCCCGGGGUUGCCCGUCUUCGGACGAGGGAGCACCUAGAGCGCACUUGCUGGGACCCGAAAGAUGGUGAACUAUGCCGGGCCAGGACGAAGUCAGGGGAAACCCUGAUGGAGGUCCGCCGCGGUUCUGACGUGCAAAUCGAUCGUCAGAGCUGGGUAUAGGGGCGAAAGACCAAUCGAACCAUCUAGUAGCUGGUUCCCUCCGAAGUUUCCCUCAGGAUAGCUGGCGCCCGCUUUGUAUGACGAGUCUCAUCUGGUAAAGAGAAUGACUAGAGGCAUUGGGGCCGUAACGGCCUCAACCUAUUCUCAAACUUUAAAUGGGUGAGAGACCCGGCCUGCCUGGGCGAGGCCGGGGUCUCGGGAUCAGGGUGCCUAGUGGGCCAAUUUUGGUAAGCAGAACUGGCGCUGUGGGAUGAA
RNAcentral lists this ribosomal RNA (507 nucleotides) under Anaplecta fallax. Its description in RNAcentral is "eukaryotic LSU rRNA". It matches the Rfam family "Eukaryotic large subunit ribosomal RNA", at positions 689 to 1167 of the family's 3401-position model. The record is from RNAcentral. Lineage: Eukaryota; Metazoa; Arthropoda; Insecta; Blattodea; Anaplectidae.